AAUCAACGCUGGCGGCGUGCCUCAGACAUGCAAGUCGAACGCGAAAAGCUCCCUUCGGGGGGCAAGUAGAGUGGCGCACGGGUGAGUAACACGUAGGUAAUCUACCUUCGGGUGGGGAAGUAACAACCGGAAACGGUUGCUAAUACCGCAUAAUGCAGCGGCACCCAACUAGGUGGACAGUUGUUAAAGACGGGGGAGUCGAAAGAUCUCGCGCCUGAAGAGGGAGCCUGCGGCGG
RNAcentral lists this ribosomal RNA (236 nucleotides) under uncultured bacterium. RNAcentral's name for it is "partial 16S ribosomal RNA". It matches the Rfam family "Bacterial small subunit ribosomal RNA", at positions 32 to 239 of the family's 1533-position model. The record is from RNAcentral.